GCCGGGGUAGCCAAAUGGUAAAGGCGUGGGCUUUAGGCACCCAUGGAAUCAAUCCUUUAGGGGUUCGAUUCCCCUCUCCGGCA
This 83-nucleotide transfer RNA is filed under the name Caenorhabditis remanei. It matches the Rfam family "tRNA". From Rfam's summary of the family: Transfer RNA (tRNA) molecules are approximately 80 nucleotides in length. Their secondary structure includes four short double-helical elements and three loops (D, anti-codon, and T loops). Lineage: Eukaryota; Metazoa; Nematoda; Chromadorea; Rhabditida; Rhabditidae. The record is from Rfam by way of RNAcentral.